UGUCUGCACUGUGUCUCAAAGAAAAUGGAU
RNAcentral lists this non-coding RNA (30 nucleotides) under Mus musculus (house mouse). Lineage: Eukaryota; Metazoa; Chordata; Mammalia; Rodentia; Muridae. The record is from RNAcentral.